RNAcentral lists this long non-coding RNA (355 nucleotides) under Panax ginseng (ginseng). Its description in RNAcentral is "long non-coding RNA (PGIN_LNC005517)". Lineage: Eukaryota; Viridiplantae; Streptophyta; Magnoliopsida; Apiales; Araliaceae. The record is from RNAcentral.
AUAAAGACAAGUCAAAAGCUAACCAUUUGAUCAUAAGCAUCAAUCCCAUCACUAUCUAGCAGUAAGAGGUUGUAUUCGGUGCCAUCAAGAGUUGUCCUCCUAAGCAGAGUACUCCACAGUCAAAGACCUUUCGUACACAGCCGAUGAGUUGAUGCCACAUGAAUCCACUGCUCCUCACAAGAAGCUACAGCAAAGAAAAUGAAGCAGCACGUUAGUGAAAGAUGCUGUGAAGACAACACCAUAGAAGCAAAAAAUGCUAAAAAUUAUGAACCAAGUAUAUGUACUGCUGUGAUAGCAUAAUGUUGUACCUGCCGUUUUGAAGCUUAAGAAAAUCAACUUUGUCGAGAGAUGGUAC